This 72-nucleotide transfer RNA is filed under the name Camelus bactrianus (Bactrian camel). It matches the Rfam family "tRNA". Rfam says of the family: Transfer RNA (tRNA) molecules are approximately 80 nucleotides in length. The record is from Rfam by way of RNAcentral. Lineage: Eukaryota; Metazoa; Chordata; Mammalia; Artiodactyla; Camelidae. RNAcentral also lists the same sequence under 2 other names.
AAGGGUAUAGCUCAGUGAUAGAGCAUGUGCUUAGCAUGCACGAGGUCCUGGGUUCAGUCCUCAGUACCUCCU